RNAcentral lists this ribosomal RNA (253 nucleotides) under uncultured bacterium. RNAcentral describes it as "partial 16S ribosomal RNA". It matches the Rfam family "Bacterial small subunit ribosomal RNA", at positions 524 to 776 of the family's 1533-position model. The record is from RNAcentral.
UACGGAGGGGGCUAGCGUUGUUCGGAAUUACUGGGCGUAAAGCGCGCGUAGGCGGACCUGCAAGUCGGGGGUGAAAGCCCGAGGCUCAACCUCGGAACUGCCUUCGAUACUGCGGGUCUCGAGUCCGGGAGAGGUGAGUGGAAUUCCUAGUGUAGAGGUGAAAUUCGUAGAUAUUGGGAAGAACACCAGUGGCGAAGGCGGCUAACUGGUCCAGUACUGACGCUGAGGUGCGAAAGCGUGGGGAGCAAACAGG